GUACUUUCUGCUGAAUAGAAUUUCUUUCUUUAAAAGAGUUGUCUUUUGCAUGGAUCUUCUUCUUGCUGCUUUGUGCAAGAAGUUACAUUCCCUUCCAAUUAUCUUCACUUAGAAAAUCCCGAUCUAUGAAAGACUUGCAUUUAUUUCAUUGCUUUUGCCUUCAGUUGCAGUAUUGCAGGUUGGAUUUCCUGAGAGGUUACAUCAUGAGAAAGAAACCUUUCAACCCUUUCAUGCUGCAGCAGAAUUUAACUCGAUGUAUUUCUUCCCAUGCAGCCAGAAACACAUUUCUGAGUGCACUAACCCUGUGUUGAAAGGCUACUGCCUGCCAGCUCUGAAAACUAAGUCUCGCUAUAGCAGCUUAGGCUUCUUGCCACAAUCUUGCCUUGAAGGAUUCACUUCAAGAAGCGCUGUUUUGUCACCGCAUCACUGAGCAUAAUAUUGAUGAGUUUUUGCCUCUCUGCUAGAACCUACCAGAUUCAAAUUGGGUUAGAUUUUGAAGGCAGCUGUAUCCAAAUCCUGAGAAGCAUUGAGGUGGAGGGCUAGAUACUUCAAUGACACUGAGGACCUGUGGCCUUCUGUUCUGGGAGCUAUGCUGAAAACACUGGCUGACAAAUUUCACGUACGUUCUUUUGAAUAGCUGUCCAAUGGUAGCAUUAUUGACUGUUAUUGUUAAAGAGAAACACAGACAAUGAAUGCUCUACUGAGAUAGGUAUUUGAAUGAUUUUAAUGAAUUAUGCAGGCUUUUUUUUAAUGUAGGUGAUCAUCUGGCAAAGGUUAGGUUGAGCCCAUCACUCAUUCACUUGUGACCUGUCAAGCACAUUAAAAUACAAACAUCUACCAGUAAGAAGCUGACGCCUUAGACUACAGCAGCUCUUCACAGCAUACUAUGAAGUUCCCAAAUGAAAUAACAGGUCAUUUCCAAUAAUGACCAUGCAAUCAAACGAUCAAGUAUAAUUAAAACAAGAGAUUUAUCAUUUUUGCCUGCGUCUGCACUCCUGCUUAAACAUUGUCUGCAUGCCACUAUGUAAUUAAGCACCUAACUGCCAAACUCUCUUUCUGACUCCAGCAUUUCACUCUUUAUCUCUCACUCUCACCCAUCCUGACUUGCAUGUUAAUAUCAGAUUGGAAAAUGGCAGAGAACCAGUGUCUGCUCUCACAGAAAUCAGUGGCAAAACUCCCACUGGCUCAAAAGCUUACUUCCCCAUACAUACAUGCUUACCUGCUCAUAGCUUUGUGGUAAAGAGAACUACUUUCUUUAAAAUUCAAUUAUGUCUAACUUCAAGAAAACAAAAAGGCAAUCAUUAGAAAGUCUUUGUUGCAUCUCAGCACGUGCUAUUCUCUUUAAUAAAAGAUUAAGAUCCAUUAACCCA
RNAcentral lists this long non-coding RNA (1370 nucleotides) under Coturnix japonica (Japanese quail). Its description in RNAcentral is "lncRNA (ENSCJPG00005012545.1)". The record is from RNAcentral. Lineage: Eukaryota; Metazoa; Chordata; Aves; Galliformes; Phasianidae.